CACACACACACACACAGCCCGUCUCGCGCCUGAGGUCUCGCCCGCAGGCCGGUGGCGCGGGGUCAGCUGCUGCGUGCGGUCCAGGACAGGGUCGGUUCCGCCGCGCAGCGCCCAGGCCCAGCUCGUCCAGAGUCUGCGGACAGCGCACGUCCAGACAUCGCCCACUCGGGCUCACAGUGCCAUCCGGGUGAGGACCUCCAUGGAGAGCUUCUCUUUGCCAAAGAAAAGGAGUUGCAUUAGGUCUGCGAGCAGGCAGGGUGGCCUCUUCCUGGCUCCCCAUCCACCAAGGAAGCUUCAAGUUCCUGGGACACAGGCACUUUCCCACACAGGAUGGAGCUGGGCCAUCCUCACAGCUCCUGCCCUGGAGACGCUGGCCUUGUGGAGGGAGGCGGGCAGCAGGAGCAGUGCUUUCUGGGCCUCUGUGGCCAGAGCUGGCCCUGCUGCAGCUCACUUCUGCCUGCAGCCCAGACGUCCUCCUGGUCCUCCUGAUGCCCCCGACCUCCAUGGAGGACGAGCAUUUCCAGCCCAGCCCUCCCCGUCUUCACCUCGCACUGCCCUGACACACUGGGAGCCUCCUGAUCCGUGAACCCGCGCUGGCGGGAGUAGCUACUGACCGCUGGGGACCCCUGCCCAGGCUGUUCGCAUGUGGAAAGGAUUCAGGGAGCAGGCGAUGCCCAAAGCGUGGAGACCAGCACUGCUCUCUCCCCAGCGACAGGUGCACGCCCAGAUCACGGAUGUGUCGGGAACAGCUGUGCUCCUGCUGCUCAGCGUCCGUCACUCCAGGCUGGGAGCGGGUCCCCAAGCUUCCGGCUGGGCCUAUCCGUCUCCACUCUCAGUGUGGGGGUGGGGGGCGCCAACAGCACGCAUUUGCUCUCUGCACUUCUCGUCUGAUAAUGGGCAGAGGGUCCUUCUGCAGCCCCAAAACAUCCCUAGGCAGGAGCCCUGGGGCCCCAAGCAGCCAGGGAGGUGAGCACCAAGGACCUCCCAGAGAGCGUCACCUUCCGCCGAGGGAGGCCCAGCCUGGGGGUGGUGUCUGAGACUUGGAAUCAACGCUUCCAUUGGUGGCAGUAAAUCCUGUCCCUAACCCUGCAGUAUAGCUGUGCCGUGUACAGGAGGGUGCUGUCUGACGCCAGACACCUGGACUACAGAUCGCAGCCCGAUUCCUGGUCAUUGCUCCACUGAACCCCAGACCCCAGCCUCAUUCUGGGCCCUCAUCCCCUAGAUCCAGGGACCCCAGCCCCAUUUCAGCCCUUGGGCCCUUGUAGGAUGCGAGGCCCUGGGCCCCAGCCCCCAGCCCAUCCGUGGCCCAGGCACUGGGGGGCUGAGGUCCUCUGAGAAGGGACACAGGGCCUGGGGGGCUGUCUCAGCCCAUCAGCAGGAGAGGACUGACUCCAGAAAAAUCAGCGUUUGUACCCACUCAGGCUGCCAAGACCUGUGUCCGUCCUUCCAAGCUCAACCUUCAGAGUUCAUGAGGCCCCUUGCCCAGAAUGUCCACAGAGUUCAUGAGGCCCCUUGAAUGUCCACAGAGUUCAUGAGGCUCCUUGCCUGGAAUAUCCACGUUUGAAACCUCCCAACACCGAGCCCCAUUUCAAGUAUAACCAGGAGGGAAAAUGGUGCUUGAAAUAAGCAUGCCGCAAAGGAAAACCUGCUUUCUCGAAAUGGGCCCUGGCCGCCCAGGCCCUGACCUCCCCGGCCAGGAUGGAACGUUCCAGAGACCCAUUAGUGCCAAAGGCAAAUGAAAACACACCCUGUGAAAAU
RNAcentral lists this long non-coding RNA (1758 nucleotides) under Pan troglodytes (chimpanzee). RNAcentral's name for it is "lincRNA". The record is from RNAcentral. Lineage: Eukaryota; Metazoa; Chordata; Mammalia; Primates; Hominidae.